This 21-nucleotide microRNA is filed under the name Ananas comosus (pineapple). Its description in RNAcentral is "microRNA s0740_c95a". Lineage: Eukaryota; Viridiplantae; Streptophyta; Magnoliopsida; Poales; Bromeliaceae. The record is from RNAcentral.
AAGGGCUUCGUGGAUUCCUCU